AUGGUUUCCUCUGCACCUGCGUGUCUCACCGGGGCCACAAAGCCGUGUCUACAAGCUAAAGAAAAGAGGAAGGAACAAACUGAAGAAGCAGGGAAACCGGCGUCUCUCCUGCGUGUCAAAGGAUACGUUGGUAGAGAAUUUGGGUCUGAAAGUUCCCGUGUGGGAACCUCUCCCUCUGACAGGCGUGGGGUGGCAGGGACCGGCGCGAGCGUGCCCCGUCACCGCAGCUCUGCUGGACUGCUGCUCCGCCAGCCAGCCCUUUCCGAGCACCGUCCGAGGGCGAAAGCCAGCACGGAGGGCUCCUUGGAGCGGGGGUCCCCUGGAGCUCGCUGCCCGGGCCGGCCGCAGGGCGGUGGGCACAGCUCUAAUCCUGACGGCUUUCCGGUGCGCGGGAGGGAGCCAGGGGCCUGCCGGGCUGCCGCGAGGGUGGGGGGCGCCGGGGAGCCUGCGGGCAGGUCUGCUGGCGGCGCUUGUACGGCCGUGCGCCUUUGGCCGGCGUGGAGCCGAGGCUUCGCUCGGCUGCUUGCUUUUGGUGGCUCGUGUCCUCGCGCGUCGUCCAUCGCUGCGGGGUCCCAGAGCCGCCAGCAAGUGUCGGGGGGCUGCCGCGGCAUCCCGGCGGGAGCAGCGCACGGCCUUCCUGGUAGGCGGAGAAAGUGGGAAUCGCACGAGGGCCUCGGGCAGGUUUUGUUGGUGAGCAGAAGGCCGUCGAGAUCCCGGGAGCAGGCUCAGGACGUGCCGGUCCUCGGGAGCAGGGCGGGAGUGCCGCACCGUGCCGCUCGUCUCUGCGGCCCCGAGCCCUGUUUGCGAGGGCCCGGAGGGGCUGAGCAGGAGCCCGUCGCGGGCUUGCUGGCUGCCGCAGCGCGGAGCUGCCCCGGCGCAGAGCCCUGCGAGCCGCUGGCGCAUCCCCGGCGCCCCAAACCUGGGGUGAGGGGGUGUAAAACCGCACAGCGGGAUGCUUCCUCCUUCAGAGGCUUGGUUCCCUUCCCAGCUGCCCUUCUCUGUAGCCGGCACCUUGUUAUCUCAGGGAGGGACAGGUCGCAGGAACGCCCGCCGCACCUUUCCCCCUGCCGGGGCCGCGAGCCGGGGGCCCCUCGCCUCCCCUCCCUCCACCACUUUGCGCUUUCCCGGCCGUGCCUCGGCGCCUCGCGAGCGUCCCCGCGGGCCGGCGCCGUCCCCCUGGGGUGCGCGGGCAGGCCCUGCCCCCCCCCGGGCAAGGCUUUGCAGGGAGCGUCCGUCCGUCUGUCCGCUCUUAAAGCGUUGCCAAGCAAGAAGCGCCGGGGCGGGAGGCGCCUGCAAAGCAGACAGGCAAAACGCAAGACCGAAGCAGGGCACAGCUGA
This is a long non-coding RNA of Apteryx owenii (little spotted kiwi), 1338 nucleotides long. NCBI's taxonomy places the organism in Eukaryota, Metazoa, Chordata, Aves, Apterygiformes, Apterygidae. The record is from Ensembl.